UGUAUAUGUAUAUAUUUAUAUAUCAUCUCUUUGUCUUUCCAAAGGCGGUAGGGUCUACUUAUGUUGUUUCUUUCGAUUUCAGUGGAUCCAGAGGAGAUUAAGGGUUGGUUUUGCAGAGAUACAUUUUGGGGCUAUGUAAGGUUUGGUGAUAUCAAAUCUGAAAAAUAUCUGGUUAGUCCGACACUUUCAAAUUGGAAUGGAAAUGGCCCCACAGUCCUUCUGUCUUUAUGGGCAGGUAAGGGAUGAUAUUCCGGAGCCAGGAAAGCACUACAAAAACACCACUCUGCUUAUAAUUAUUAAUCAAAAUUUAUUUGGCUUUUGUGAGUAUAUGUGUUCAGAACUAUGGCUGGGGGGAAGUGGCAACAGCUUUUUUUGAGCGAAACCUUUCGCGGCACACUGGACAACGCAUGACUGGAUCAGGAAUAAUUUCACCCAAAUAGGCAAUGCAAAGGGAUCCACUUUCGGACCAUAGCAAAUCGAGCAAAAGUCUUCAGCGCUGCCCGUCUUAGUUUCUUCCUCAGCUUCAGCUGGCUUGUCCUUCUUAUUAGUCGCCAUAUUUUUUAGUAGAUCACGGCUGAAAUCAAACCUUUUUUCAAACAACAUCCUUUUUAUUUUGUCCGCUCAUUUUCUUACCAAAACGAACUAUUUACUUGCCAGCUGUUCUGAGAAUUUUCUCGAAGCUACGAAGUGUUGAAUAUAAAAAGUGUGUAUAUAAAAGUGUUGCUCAACGUCAAAAU
Molecule: long non-coding RNA, 737 nt
Organism: Drosophila pseudoobscura
Lineage: Eukaryota; Metazoa; Arthropoda; Insecta; Diptera; Drosophilidae
Exons: 2
Source: RefSeq, a predicted model, not a curated record